CGCGGCCUAUCAGCUUGUUGGUGAGGUAACGGCUCACCAAGGCAUCGACGGGUAGCUGGUCUGAGAGGACGAUCAGCCACACUGGGACUGAGACACGGCCCAGACUCCUGCGGGAGGCAGCAGUGGGGAAUCUUGCGCAAUGGGCGAAAGCCUGACGCAGCAACGCCGCGUGGGGGAUGAAGGCUCUCGGGUUGUAAACCCCUUUCAGCAGGGACGAAAAUGACGGUACCUGUAGAAGAAGCCCCGGCCAACUACGUGCCAGCAGCCGCGGUAACACGUAGGGGGCGAGCGUUGUCCGGAAUUAUUGGGCGUAAAGGGCUCGUAGGCGGUUCAGUAAGUCAGAUGUGAAAGGUUGGGGCUCAACCCUAAGACUGCAUUUGAUACUGCUGUGACUGGAGUCCGGUAGAGGAGUGUGGAAUUCCUGGUGUAGCGGUGAAAUGCGCAGAUAUCAGGAGGAACACCGACGGCGAAGGCAGCACUCUGGGCCGGUACUGACGCUGAGGAGCGAAAGCGUGGGUAGCAAACAGGAUUAGAUACCCUGGUAGUCCACGCCGUAAACGUUGGGCACUAGGUGUGGGGUCUUAUCAACGGAUUCCGUGCCGAAGCUAACGCAUUAAGUGCCCCGCCUGGGGAGUACGG
This 639-nucleotide ribosomal RNA is filed under the name uncultured Actinomycetes bacterium. RNAcentral describes it as "bacterial SSU rRNA". It matches the Rfam family "Bacterial small subunit ribosomal RNA", at positions 232 to 885 of the family's 1533-position model. The record is from RNAcentral. Lineage: Bacteria; Bacillati; Actinomycetota; Actinomycetes.